RNAcentral lists this ribosomal RNA (441 nucleotides) under uncultured bacterium. Its description in RNAcentral is "partial 16S ribosomal RNA". It matches the Rfam family "Bacterial small subunit ribosomal RNA", at positions 338 to 795 of the family's 1533-position model. The record is from RNAcentral.
CCUACGGGAGGCAGCAGUGGGGAAUAUUGCACAAUGGGCGAAAGCCUGAUGCAGCAACGCCGCGUGAAUGAAGACGGUUUUCGGAUUGUAACCUUCUGUUCUUAGUGAAGAAUAAUGACGAUAACUAAGGAGCAAGCCACGGCUAACUACGUGCCAGCAGCCGCGGUAAUACGUAGGUGGCAAGCGUUGUCCGGAAUUACUGGGUGUAAAGGGAGCGUAGGCGGGAAGCCAAGUCAGCUGUGAAAACUACGAGCUUAACCUGUAGACUGCAGUUGAAACUGGCUUUCGUUAGUGAAGUAGAGGUUGGCGGAAUUCCGAGUGUAGCGGUGAAAUGCGUAGAUAUUCGGAGGAACACCGGUGGCGAAGGCGGCCAACUGGGCUUUAACUGACGCUGAGGCUCGAAAGUGUGGGGAGCAAACAGGAUUAGAUACCCCAGUAGUC